Molecule: long non-coding RNA, 403 nt
Filed under: Theobroma cacao (cacao)
Lineage: Eukaryota; Viridiplantae; Streptophyta; Magnoliopsida; Malvales; Malvaceae
Description: long non-coding RNA (TCAC_LNC003557)
Source: RNAcentral
CUCUUUGGUCUCUUUUAGCAGUGUGGUUAAUUGACUUGAGACCGGGCAGCUUGGAGCAUAUCUACAAUAAGGGUUUUCACAUCCCUAAGACAUGCAAGAAAAAUCAGAUUGAACAAGAAUAAAACACAAAUAACACAGUCAAACGUCACAUAGCGUCCCCCCAAGCUAUUGUUCUUUUAUGUAAAGUCUUAGCCAGUCAGAAACAACCCAGAUCAAAAGACAAUCAAGUCGCUCCUAUUUAAAUUACCGGACAAAAGAAGACAAUAUGCCUGUCCUCCCAUUUCUUUCAAUAUCUUUUGCCAGGAUGUUAUAAUUUCAUUGUCAUUGGGAAAGAAAAUUAAGCUGAGAAUCUCAGCAAAAAUGCCUUAUUUAGAACAGAUGACAAGUAAAAAAUCAUGUAAAG